This 315-nucleotide ribosomal RNA is filed under the name uncultured eukaryote. Its description in RNAcentral is "partial 18S ribosomal RNA". It matches the Rfam family "Eukaryotic small subunit ribosomal RNA", at positions 1470 to 1796 of the family's 1831-position model. The record is from RNAcentral.
CCCUUAGACGUUCUGGGCCGCACGCGCGUUACACUGACCAGUGCAACAAGCAUCCGUCCUUGGCCGACAGGCCCGGGCAAUCUUUGAACGCUGGUCGUGAUGGGGAUAGACUUUUGCAAUUUUUGGUCUUCAACGAGGAAUUCCUAGUAAACGCAAGUCAUCAACUUGCAUUGAUUACGUCCCUGCCCUUUGUACACACCGCCCGUCGCACCUACCGAUUGAAUGGUCCGGUGAAGCCUCCGGAUUGGCGCGCACCUCGGUGCCGCCGAGAAGUUGGCUAAACCUUACCAUUUAGAGGAAGGUGAAGUCGUAACA